UAGCCCACCCGUUUUGUGGCCUUUUACCGCUGGACGAACUUGGCGCCCCGGCCUUCGGGCAGUUAUUUUUGGGUGCGGCUUUGCCCGCGGUCUAUUUUUGGCACACGGAGGCCCCUCGUAAAGUCUCGCGGCAUUCCGAGUUCGGCGGACGAAGUUGACCAGCCCCACCCCCCAAGGCUAUAGCCCACCCGUUUUUGUGGCCUUUUUCCGCUGGACGAACUUGGCGCCCCGGCCUUCGGUUGGUUAUUUUUGGGCGCGGCAUUGCCCGUGGCGUAUUUUUGGUACACGGAGGCCCCUCGCAAAGUCUCGCGGCAUUCCGAGUCCGGCGGACGAAUUUGGCCUGCCCCACCCCCCAAGGCUAUAGCCCACCCGUUUUUGUGGCCUUUUUCCGCUGGACGAAUUUGGCGCCCCGGCCUUCGGGCGGUUAUUUUCGGGCAAGGCUUUUCCCGCGGCCUAUUUUUGGCACACGGAGGCCCUUCGCAAAGUCUCACGGCAUUCCGAGUUCGGCGGACGAAGUUGGCCAGCCCCACCCCCCAAGGCUAUAGCCUACCCGUUUUUGUGGCCUUUUUUCGCUGGACGAACUUGGCGCCCCGGCCUUCGGGCGGUUAUUUUUGGGCAAGGCUUUGCCCGCGGCUUAUUUUUAUCACAAGGAGGCCCCUCGCAAAGUCUCGCGGCAUUCCGAGUCCGGCGGACGAAGUUGGCCAGCCCCACCCCCCAAGGCUAUAGCCCACCCGUUUUUGUGGCCUUUUUCCGCUGGACGAACUUGGCGCCCCGGCCUUCGGGCGGUUAGUUUUUGGCAAGGCUUUACCCGCGACCUAUUUUUGGCACACGGAGGCCCCUCGCAAAGGCUCGCGGUAUUCCGAGUCCGGCGGACGAAGUUGGGCAGCCCCACCCCCCAAGCCUAUAACCCACCCGUUUUUGUGGCUUUUUUCCGCUGAACGAACUUGGCGUCCCGGCCUUCGGACAGUUAUUUUUGAGCGCGGCUUUGUCCGCGGCCUAUUUUUGGCACACGGAUGCCGCUCGUAAAGUCUCGCGGCAUUCCGAGUCCGGCGGACAAAGUAGGCCAGCCCCACCCCCCAAGGCUAUAGCCCACCCGUUUUUGUGGACUUUUUCCGCUGGACGAACUUGGCGCCCUGGUUUUCUGGCGGUUAUUUUUGGGUGCGGCUUUGUCCGUGGCCUAGUCUUGGCACAUGGAGGCCCCUCGCAAAGUCUCGCUGCAUUCCGAGUCCGGCGGACGAAGUUGGUCAGCCCCACCCCCGAAGGCUAUAGCCCACCCGUUUUUGUGGCCUUUUUCCGCUGAACGAACUUGGCGCCCCGGCCUUCGGGCGGUUAUUUUUGGGUGCGGCUUUGCCCGCGGCCUAUUUUUGGCACACGGAGGCCCCUCGCAAAGUCUCGCGGCAUUCCGAGUCCGGCGGACGAAGUAGGCCAGCCCCACCCCCCAAGGCUAUAGCCCACCCGUUUUUGUGGCCUUUUUCCGCUGCACGAACUUGGCGCCCUGGCCUUCGGGCGGUUAUUUUUGUGCGCGGAUUUGUCCGCGGCCUUUUUUUGGCACACGGAGGCCCCUCGCAAAGUCUCACGGAAUUCCGAGUUCGGCAGACGAAGUUGACCAGCCCCACCCCCCAAGGCUAUAGCCCACCCGUUUUUGUGGCCUUUUUCCGCUGGACGAACUUGGCGCCCCGGCCUUCGGUUGGUUAUUUUUGGGCGCGGCAUUGCCCGUGGCGUAUUUUUGGUACACGGAGGCCCCUCGCAAAGUCUCGCGGCAUUCCGAGUCCGGCGGACGAAUUUGGCCUGCCCCACCCCCCAAGGCUAUAGCCCACCCGUUUUUGUGGCCUUUUUCCGCUGGACGAAUUUGGCGCCCCGGCCUUCGGGCGGUUAUUUUCGGGCAAGGCUUUGCCCGCGGCCUAUUUUUGGCACACGGAGGCCCUUCGCAAAGUCUCACGGCAUUCCGAGUUCGGCGGACGAAGUUGGCCAGCCCCACCCCCCAAGGCUAUAGCCUACCCGUUUUUGUGGCCUUUUCUCGCUGGACGAACUUGGCGCCCCGGCCUUCGGGCGGUUAUUUUUGGGCAUGGCUUUGCCCGCGGCUUAUUUUUAUCACAAGGAGGCCCCUCGAAAAGUCUCGCGGCAUUCCGAGUCCGGCGGACGAAGUUGGCCAGCCCCACCCCCCAAGGCUAUAGCCCACCCGUUUUUGUGGCCUUUUUCCGCUGGACGAACUUGGCGCCCCGGCCUUCGGGCGGUUAUUUUUUGGCAAGGCUUUACCCGCGACCUAUUUUUGGCACACGGAGGCCCCUCGCAAAGGCUCGCGGUAUUCCGAGUCCGGCGGACGAAGUUGGCCAGCCCCACCCCCCAAGGCUAUAGCCCACCCGUUUUUGUGGCCUUUUUCCGCUGAACGAACUUGGCGUCCCGGCCUUCGGACGGUUAUUUUUGAACGCGGCUUUGUCCGCGGCCUAUUUUUGGCACACGGAUGCCGCUCGUAAAGUCUCGCGGCAUUCCGAGUCCGGCGGACAAAGUAGGCCAGCACCACCCCCCAAGGCUAUAGCCCACCCGUUUUUGUGGCCUUUUUCCGCUGGACGAACUUGGCGCCCUGGCCUUCUGGCGGUUAUUUUUGGGCGCGGCUUUGCCCGCGGCCUAUUUUUGGCACACGGAGGCCCCUCGCAAUGUCUCGCGGCAUUUCGAGUCCGGCGGACGAAGUUGGCCAGCCCCACCCCCCAAGGCUAUACCCCACCCGUUUUUGUGGCCUUUUACCGCUGGACGAACUUGGN
RNAcentral lists this long non-coding RNA (2759 nucleotides) under Citrus x clementina. RNAcentral's name for it is "Citrus clementina (C. clementina) long non-coding RNA (CCLE_LNC005944)". The record is from RNAcentral. Lineage: Eukaryota; Viridiplantae; Streptophyta; Magnoliopsida; Sapindales; Rutaceae.